Molecule: long non-coding RNA, 842 nt
Filed under: Lepisosteus oculatus (spotted gar)
Lineage: Eukaryota; Metazoa; Chordata; Actinopteri; Semionotiformes; Lepisosteidae
Description: lncRNA (ENSLOCG00000022615.1)
Source: RNAcentral
AUGGCACAGCGUUAUGUGUGUCCGGUAGCUCUCGUUCAGGUCUCGUUGGAGGGUGUUCUUUCCACAGCUGCGGUUUUAAUAGAAGGACGCGCGCAGAGAGAGCGCACUCCGGGGUUACCGUGGAGGAGAAAUGAUCUGCGCCUUAAUUCCGGCCCGGCAAACUCGACGUCCGGCUGCACUGUUCAUACUCGCAGUGUCACAGAACUGAGACACAACAAUAGGGACCAGGUGCCCAGGCAGCAGACUGCAGGUGCAGCACUUAGCAAAGUGUGGUUUACACUGCUGGCUCUGAUUCAGCUGUGUGCACACCAAAGGGUACAGGUGAGUGUGUAUUAUGAAUGGUCUACAACAUGCAACGUUCCAUGUUUUCUUCUCACGCAGUCAAAUCACAUGUGUCUCUUUUUAACUCACAGCUGUGAUAGUAUUGUGUCUAUUGCAGAUCUUCUCCCUAACAUGUUCAGCUUGUCUAAACUUCAGUCUUCAGUGGCAUAUCUGUUGUAUACAGUGUGUUACUGAUGGGAGUCUGUGUGUCCUCCAGUCAAGCUGGAGGACACACUGAUUAAUCUAAACUGAUUUAUCAGGGAAGCAGUGAAGGAAACUGAUUUUUCUUGGCCAGAGAGGAUAGGAUUUUUUUUCUUACACAUGCUUGUGUUUACUAGUUAUUUCCAAUCAAAUGCAGCUCUUCUUAAUUUAAAAGGGAAGUAUCUUUCAUUAUGGCAGGACUCUGGCAACUUGUCCACAGGAAGAAGCAACACACCUACUUGAAGCUCCACACAGAGACUUCUUAGUUAAUCUCAGAGUGCCUGGUAAAUCAGUCCAAGUAAUGGAUUUGUGUAGCCCUG